This 388-nucleotide ribosomal RNA is filed under the name uncultured organism. Its description in RNAcentral is "bacterial SSU rRNA". It matches the Rfam family "Bacterial small subunit ribosomal RNA", at positions 45 to 433 of the family's 1533-position model. The record is from RNAcentral.
UGCCUUACACAUGCAAGUCGAACGGCAGCGCGUCCUUCGGGAUGGCGGCGAGUGGCGAACGGGUGAGUAAAGCAUCGGAACGUGUCCGGUAGUGCGGGAUAGCUCGGCGAAAGCCGGAUUAAUACCGCAUGAGAUCCGUGGAUGAAAGCAGGGGACUCGCAAGGGCCUUGCGCUACUGGAGCGGCCGAUGUCAGAUUAGGUAGUUGGCGGGGUAAAGGCCCACCAAGCCUGCGAUCUGUAGCUGGUCUGAGAGGAUGAUCAGCCACACUGGGACUGAGACACGGCCCAGACUCCUACGGGAGGCAGCAGUGGGGAAUUUUGGACAAUGGGCGAAAGCCUGAUCCAGCCAUGCCGCGUGCAGGAUGAAGGCCUUCGGGUUGUAAACUGC